UGGGGAAUAUUUCGCAAUGGACGAAAGUCUGACGGAGCAACGCCGCGUGAGUGAUGAAGGAUUUCGGUUCGUAAAGCUCUGUUGCAGGGGAAAAAGAAAGUGAUUGUACUCUGCGAGAAAGGGACGGCCAACUUCGUGCCAGCAGCCGCGGUAAUACGAAGGUCCCUAGCGUUGUUCGGAAUCAUUGGGCGUAAAGCGCACGUAGGUGGUUUCGUAAGUCAGGUGUGAAAGCCCCGAGCUCAACUUGGGAAGUGCACUUGAAACUGCGAAACUUGAGUACGGAAGAGGUAAGUGGAAUUCCUGGUGUAGUGGUGAAAUACGUAGAUAUCAGGAGGAACAUCGGUGGCGAAGGCGGCUUACUGGUCCAGUACUGACACUGAGGUGCGAAAGCAUGGGGAUC
Molecule: ribosomal RNA, 400 nt
Filed under: uncultured bacterium
Lineage: Bacteria
Description: bacterial SSU rRNA
Rfam family: Bacterial small subunit ribosomal RNA
Source: RNAcentral